GAAACUUUGAUAUUAGUUCCAAUUGUAGCUUAAUUAUGUGGCCAACCAGCCAAAAUAAUCCAAAACAUUGUCUGCAUUACCUGCUUUAGUUUUAAUCCAAACGUAUUACAUAAAUCAAUUUUAGCAAUCAUGCUCAAAUUGCUAAAACAUAUUUAACUAUUGAAUGAAAAUUAGUAUUUUAAUUAGUUUAUAUUUAUAUUACUUUGCUCAUCUCUUUCUUUUCUUCUCCACCCUCCCUGACAUCCCCUCUCCCCAUAACCCACAC
RNAcentral lists this unclassified non-coding RNA (265 nucleotides) under Hevea brasiliensis (rubber tree). The record is from RNAcentral. Lineage: Eukaryota; Viridiplantae; Streptophyta; Magnoliopsida; Malpighiales; Euphorbiaceae.